GACGAACGCUGGCGGCGUGCUUAACACAUGCAAGUCGAACGGAAAGGCCCCUUUGGGGGUACUCGAGUGGCGCACGGGUGAGUAACACGUGAGUAACCUGCCCUUGACUUCGGGAUAACUUCAGGAAACUGGGGCUAAUACCGGAUAGGAAUCCUUGCUGCAUGGUGGGGGUUGGAAAGCUUCGGCGGUUUUGGAUGGACUCGCGGCUUAUUAGCUUGUUGGUGGGGUAGUGGCUUACCAAGGCUUUGACGGGUAGCCGGCCUGGGAGGGCGACCGGCCACAUUGGGACUGAGGGAAGGCACAGGCGCCUACGGGAGGAAGAAGGGGGGAAUAUUGCACAAUGGGCGGCAGGCUGAUGCAGAAACGCCGCGUGCGGGAUGACGGCCUUCGGGUUGUAAAACGCUUUCAGCAGGGGCGAAGCUUGUGGUGACGGUACCUGCAGAAGAAGCACCGGCUAACUACGUG
This 465-nucleotide ribosomal RNA is filed under the name uncultured bacterium. RNAcentral describes it as "partial 16S ribosomal RNA". It matches the Rfam family "Bacterial small subunit ribosomal RNA", at positions 28 to 507 of the family's 1533-position model. The record is from RNAcentral.